This 253-nucleotide ribosomal RNA is filed under the name uncultured bacterium. RNAcentral's name for it is "partial 16S ribosomal RNA". It matches the Rfam family "Bacterial small subunit ribosomal RNA", at positions 524 to 776 of the family's 1533-position model. The record is from RNAcentral.
UCCGAAGGGGGCUAUCGUUGUUCGGAAUUACUGGGCGUAAAGCGCACGUAGGCGGAUUUGUUAGUCAGGGGUGAAAUCCCGGGGCUCAACCUCGGAACUGCCUUUGAUACUGCAAGUCUAGAGUCCGGAAGAGGUGAGUGGAAUUCCUAGUGUAGAGGUGAAAUUCGUAGAUAUUAGGAAGAACACCAGUGGCGAAGGCGGCUCACUGGUCCGGUACUGACGCUGAGGUGCGAAAGCGUGGGGAGCAAACAGG